AAGAAAGAGGAUUCGGUUCUACAGCAAUGGCUGCAUUUGUUUGCAUCAUUAGGUGAUCGUGCAAAGAGCUGGGAUAACGUGGCUGUGUUAGUUGACGAAACUAUUAAACCACAAGCUCCGUGUAGCCCAUUCCUACAGACCCCAACACGGCAGAACAUUAAACCAAAGGCCACUCUAAUAAGGAAUAAGAACACAG
This is a long non-coding RNA of Perca flavescens (yellow perch), 196 nucleotides long. RefSeq lists it as uncharacterized. The transcript has 3 exons. NCBI's taxonomy places the organism in Eukaryota, Metazoa, Chordata, Actinopteri, Perciformes, Percidae. The record is from RefSeq and is a predicted model, not a curated record.